RNAcentral lists this ribosomal RNA (429 nucleotides) under Acidobacteriota bacterium. RNAcentral's name for it is "Acidobacteria bacterium partial 16S ribosomal RNA". It matches the Rfam family "Bacterial small subunit ribosomal RNA", at positions 355 to 776 of the family's 1533-position model. The record is from RNAcentral. Lineage: Bacteria; Pseudomonadati; Acidobacteriota.
UGGGGAAUUUUGGACAAUGGGGGAAACCCUGAUCCACCCAUCCCGCGUGUGCGAUGAAGGCCUUCGGGUUGUAAAGCACUUUUGGCAGGAAAGAAACGUCAUGGGUUAAUACCCCGUGAAACUGACGGUACCUGCAGAAUAAGCACCGGCUAACUACGUGCCAGCAGCCGCGGUAAUACGUAGGGUGCAAGCGUUAAUCGGAAUUACUGGGCGUAAAGCGUGCGCAGGCGGUUCGGAAAGAAAGAUGUGAAAUCCCAGAGCUCAACUUUGGAACUGCAUUUUUAACUACCGGGCUAGAGUGUGUCAGAGGGAGGUGGAAUUCCGCGUGUAGCAGUGAAAUGCGUAGAUAUGCGGAGGAAAACCGAUGGCGAAGGCAGCCUCCUGGGAUAACACUGACGAUCAUGCACGAAAGCGUGGGGAGCAAACAGG